UCCUACCUCAGCCUCCCAAGUGCUGGAAUUACAGGUGUGUGCCAUCACGUCUUGCUUGUGGGAAGUUUCUGAAGGGUCUUACUUGCCUGUGGCUUUCCAAUCGACUUUUCUUUUGAAUCUGUGGCAAGGGAGGCGCUCACACCACUGAGCUAAAUCAGCCCGUCAGCAGUAUUUUGUGCCAAGAAGCAUUGAGCCUCUGCAACCACGCACUGCUACUGCUAGCCUUACUGUGCCUAGU
Molecule: long non-coding RNA, 238 nt
Filed under: Cavia porcellus (domestic guinea pig)
Lineage: Eukaryota; Metazoa; Chordata; Mammalia; Rodentia; Caviidae
Description: lncRNA (ENSCPOG00000040160.1)
Source: RNAcentral